This 129-nucleotide ribosomal RNA is filed under the name Ochrolechia frigida. Its description in RNAcentral is "partial 18S ribosomal RNA". Lineage: Eukaryota; Fungi; Ascomycota; Lecanoromycetes; Pertusariales; Ochrolechiaceae. The record is from RNAcentral.
CUUGGUCAUUUUAGGAGGAAGUAAAAGUCGUAACAAGGUUUCCGUAGGUGAGUGGACAAGAGUUCCCUUUGCGCUGCGCGUUUCCCCUGCUAACCUUUGUGACCUAGGUGAACCUGCGGAAGGAUCAUU